AUUGAACGCUGGCGGCAGGCCUAACACAUGCAAGUCGGACGGUAGCACAGAGGAGCUUGCUCCUCGGGUGACGAGUGGCGGACGGGUGAGUAAUGUCUGGGGAUCUGCCCGAUAGAGGGGGAUAACCACUGGAAACGGUGGCUAAUACCGCAUAACGUCGCAAGACCAAAGAGGGGGACCUUCGGGCCUCUCACUAUCGGAUGAACCCAGAUGGGAUUAGCCAGUAGGCGGGGCAGUGGCCCACCUAGGCGACGAUCCCUAGCUGGUCUGAGAGGAUGACCAGCCACACUGGAACUGAGACACGGUCCAGACUCCUACGGGAGGCAGCAGUGGGGAAUAUUGCACAAUGGGCGCAAGCCUGAUGCAGCCAUGCCGCGUGUAUGAAGAAGGCCUUCGGGUUGUAAAGUACUUUCAGCGGGGGGGAAGGCGGUGCGGUUAAUAACCGCGCCGAUUGACGUUACCCGCAGAAGAAGCACCGGCUAACUCCGUGCCAGCCGCCGCAGUAA
RNAcentral lists this ribosomal RNA (506 nucleotides) under uncultured bacterium. RNAcentral's name for it is "partial 16S ribosomal RNA". It matches the Rfam family "Bacterial small subunit ribosomal RNA", at positions 29 to 523 of the family's 1533-position model. The record is from RNAcentral.